CACUAGUGGCACUCGGGGUACCGCCGCCGCAUGACGCGUGGGCCACCUCACUUGCUUCCCGGAAGGAUCGCACCCCGGGCAGCACCGCACAAGCUGCCCGGCAAGUCACCAGCCCGACAGGGCUAGCCGGGCUGCGGGGUUGCCCUGGAGGGCAGCGAGAGAAUUCCUGCCUGGGCGCUUCCUAGGGAGGUCACUUGCCGGGAAGGGCGUUCCCGGGCACAGGCACCCGUUACAGGAGCGGGACCAAGCGGGCAGGACAACGACGCCACGUGGCCGCUCGGCGGGCUCCCUGUGCGCAGGGCUCGUCAGGGCGAGGAGUGAAGCACAAGCAAACAUUAAAUGCUCCGACAGAAAGGGGAUUCCCCGUCCAGUCAGCCUACAGUGACUGGCCCGGUGUGAAUUCUAGGCACGUAGCGCCCUAGCUGCAGGGCUACUCAUCAUGCAUGCAAGCCAGCACACCGAGGGCAAGCUGCCCUAGUUCUUUGCUCGCAACUUGUCACCCAUGCACCGAGGCACCUGUGGUAUCCCCUUGAGUAUAAAAGGAGGACCCCCGCCAACGGUCGGUCAGGGGGGUUUGGUUUUUUUACUAGCUUUGGCCAGAAAUAGCAAGUAGCUCUUAGUAGAAAAGGAGAGAACGCCCGGGAACUCCCUCGGCAACCUAUAAACCUUUGUUCACUGGCUAAUAAGAACGCUGAAGCAGGACGUAGGGUUUUACACCUCAGGGUGGCCCGAACCUGGGUAAAAACGAUUGUGUGCAUCCUCACGCUUGACAUUGGCUUCGCCGGUGCUCGCCGGAGCGAUCCCCGACGCCCUCUGCCGAACCUAAAAGGGGGUGCUGCUCACCCCCGGUGUCUACGGCCCGGGCUACGACAUCUGGCGUGCCAGGUAGGGGGCGCGUGUGGAUAGCUCGCCGGAGAUCGCUGGCGCCGUCGUUUGCAGCUACAUCGGCAACGUCUUCUUCACCGACAGGAUCAACCCUCAUGCCUCCCAAGCGGGUUGGUGACUCUCGGAUUGAUCCACGUGGUGCCCCAACGGCGCACAUGCGGUCACACGACGCGCAACACGCGUCGCAGGGCCAGGAGAACCCUGAGCCCUCUCGGGUGCAGCAGUCGCAGCUGCCACCCCCGCCUUCUCGGCCGUCGGCGGGCAACCGGCUGAGGGGGCCGGCGGCUCCCAACGCUGGAGCCAGUCGAGCGAGCGGCCACGAUGCCGCCCACGCCGGCCAACGAGUUUACUCGCGGAUCGAAGACGCGCAGCGGCAGCUGCGCCAUGAGCACACCGCGUCGCGAUCGACGCUAUCGGGGUCGCACCCUACCCACCCGGGUGCGCCGGGGACAGGGCGGGGGGCAGCCGGUCGGAGAAUCGGCUGCCUCCAGCCCAAACCCCGACAGAAGCUGCCGCACAGGUCAUGGUGCGCUAUGAGCCGUAGCAGGGCACGCCGGCGCACGAGGCGUGGGGUGCGGAGUUGGACGCGCUCCUCGCGCUCGCCGCCCAACGGCCGCAAGGCGAGGGCGCCCCGGCCGGUUCGGGUCGGAGGCAGAACCCAGGACGCGGAGACGCGCCCCGCGCCUCGGGGCAGGGAGAAAACCCUCCCUCUCAGGGAGGGCAAGGAGGCGGAGAUCUUGAGGGGUCCUCGGAUUCGUCACCGACCGUCACGUGGGGUGACGCGCGGGCUCAAGCAGAAGAUCCACCGGCAAGCACAGGAGCGCAAAGAUUUCAUCAAGCAAGAAGUGGACAAGCUUAAAGCUGCGGGGCCUAUCAGGGAAGUACUGUACCCCACUUGGUUAGCUAACCCUGUAGUAGUACCCAAGGGGGGAGGAUAAACUUCGCAUGUGUGUAGAUUUUACUGAUCUUAACCGUGCAUGUCCUAAAGAUCCUUUUCCUGUACCUCGCAUUGACCAAAUAGUAGAUUUCAUUGCCGGUUGUGAUUUGCUGUGUUUUUUGGAUGCUUUUUCCGGCUACCAUCAAAUUAAGAUGGCAGUCGAAGACGAAGAAAAAACGGCGUUUAUCACCUCGGUUGGCUGUUACUGCUACACGUGCAUGCCAUUCGGGUUGAAGAACGCGGGCUCAACAUUCCAGCGUGCUUUAAGCGAGUGUUUGGGAUCCCAGCUAGGCCGAAACGUUGAGGCCUACAUGGAUGAUAUCGUCAUCAAGUCAAAGCGCGGGGACUCCUUGAUUGAUGACCUGCGGGAAACGUUUGAUAACCUCCGCAGGAUCAAGCUCAAGUUGAACCCUGAGAAAUGCACCUUUGGUGUAUGACUCGGGGCAGCUUUUGGGCUUCUUGGUUUCGCAAAGGGGGAUUCAAGCCAACCCAAAGAAGAUAGAAGCUAUCGAGAAAAUGGAGGCUCCCCGCAGGGUGUAGGACGUGCAGCGCCUCAACGGCUGCGUAGCCGCGCUGGGACGUUUCAUUUCAAGGCUGGGCGAGCGCGCCCUCCCUUUCUUCAAGGUGAUGAAGAAGAAGGGCCCAAUCGACUGGACCCCCGAGGCUGAGGUGGUGUUCCAGGAUCUCAAGAAGUACCUGAAGUCGCCGCCGAUCCUCGUCGCCACCAAGCCGGGCGAGCCGCUGCUACUCUACCUAGCGGCGACUGACCAAGUGGUCAGCUCGGUGCUAGUUGCCGAGAGAGAGGGAGACCUCCCGGAGGCUGAGCUUGCGGGGCAGGGGGCUGAACUAGCCCCGGCAACCGCUCCGAACCCGGGAACUGCCGUCGAGCCGGCAGCGUCAACACCGCACAGGCGGCUCGUGCAGCACCUGGUGUACUUCAUUAGCACGGUGCUGCACGACGCCCACACGCGGUACCCGCAAGUGUAGAAGCUCUUACUGGAGAUCCUGCUUGCAUCACGCAAGCUGCGCCACUACUUCUAGGCGCACCGCGUCACGGUGGUGUCGGGAUUCUGCCUCGAGCGGGCCCUCACCAACCGUGAAGCCACCUGAAGGGUGGCCGAAUGGAGGAUGGAGUUGUCGGAGUUCGACCUGCACUUCACCAACACCAAGAGCAUCAAGAGUGCGGCUAUGGCUGAUUUCGUUGCGGAGUGGACUUCGACGAGCGUAGAAGAAGAAGAGCUGGAGACCAGCCUGCCUGGCAAGCUGGACGAAGGCCACUGGAUCCUGUACUUCGACGGCGCGUUCAGCCUGCAGUGAGCUGGCGCCGGAGUCGUCAUCUAGUCAUCCACAGGAGUGCAGCUGAAGUUCGCCAUCCAGCUCGACUUCCCCAACUCCACCAACAACACGGCUGAGUACGAAGGGUUGCUCGCCGGGUUGCGGGCGGCGAUCGCCCUUGAUAUCAAGCGCCUGGUUGUUCGCUGGGAUUCCCAACUCGUGAUCAACCAGGUUAACAAGGACUACGACUGCCCGCUGAUGGCAGCGUACGUGGAUGAGGUCCGCAAGCUGGAACGCAAGUUCAAGGGUUUGCGGUUCGAGCACGUCAAGCGCAAGGAUAACUUCGCGGUUGACGAGCUGUCCAAGUUGGCAGCAGAGCGCCGGAAGGUUUAGGCGAGGGUGUUCUGGCACAGGCAGACUGCGCCUUCGGUUGCCCCCAAGCCGGCUGCCGGGGAAGCCCCCCCGGCAACCGAAGGAAACCCCGCAACAGCGGAGGUCCAUGCCGCUGAUGUAGCGGCAUGCAUGAGUAGGGAAACCCCGCCUUGGGCGGUGGAUAUCGCCCGCUACCUGAAGGGAGAAGCCCUCCCGGAAGAUGACGUUGCCGCGGAACGCGUAGCCCGGCAAGGCAAGAUGUACGCCCUGGUGGACGGGAACCUCUAGCGGAGGCGUGCAAAUGGAGGGAAGCUCCUCUGCGUGCCCAAGAAGAAGGGCGCGCACUCCUGGAAGAGAUACACCGAGGCACAUGUUCUCACCAUGUGGCCUCCCAGGCUCUGGCCAGUAAGGCUUUCCGGCACGGCUUCUACUGGCCUACAGCGCAAGUCGAUGCUGAGCAACUGGUCAAGACGUGCGAGGCGUGUCAGUUCCAUGCGAAGAAGAGCAACCAACCGUCGCAAGCCCUGCAAGUCAUUCCAUCCUCCUGGCCGUUCGCGGUCUGGGGGCUGGACAUCGUCGGCAAGUUGCCGAGCGGUUGGCGGCUACGGGUAUCUGCUCGUGGGCAUCGACAAGUUCUCCAAGUGGGUAGAAGUGGAACCAGUGCGGAAGGUGACCGCCCAGGCAGCCGUGAAGUUCUUCUAGGGCAUCGUGUGCCGGUUUGGUGUGUCUAACGGCAUCAUCACCGACAACAACACACAGUUCACGAGCGCAGCAUUCCAAGCCUACUGCGAGAGCAUGAGCACCAAGAUCCACUUCGCGUCUGUUGCUCACCCGAGGAGCAACGGGCAAGCGGAGAGGGCCAACGCAGAGGUGCUGUGGGGGCUCAAGACGCGAACCUUUGACAAGCUCAAAGGCUACGGGAAGCACUGGAUUGAGGAACUCCAGCCCGUGCUGUGGUCGAUCAGGACCAUACCUAGCCGGGCAAUAGGUGAAACACCUUUCGCCCUUGUCUACGGGGCAAAAGCGGUGCUGCCGCUCGAGCUCAAGCAUGGAUCCCCUCGGGUACGCGCGUACGGCAACCAUAGCCAACACGAACAGAGGGUGGACGAUCUAAACUUCAUCGAAGAUCUUCGAUGCCGGGCUGCUGUGCGGGCUGCACGCUACCAGCAGGGACUCCGCUGUUACCAUGACAGGCGGGUCCGUCCCUGGGAGCUCGAGAUCGGAAACCUUGUCUUGCGCCGGAUACAAGGAACGAAGGCCGGGAACAAGCUGGCUCCGAAAUGGGAGGGCCCCUUCCGGGUAGUGCAGGUAACCAGGCCGGGGGCUGCCCGGCUAGAAACCGAAGAAGGCUUGCCGGUGCAAAACAGUUGGAACCUUAAGCACUUGCGUAAGUUCUACCCGUGAAGCGGCGGAGCCCGACCCACAUGUGAUGCUCCGACAGCAUGCCUCUCAAACUAGUGUAGCCGGGCAACCCCCGAUUGUAAACCGCUAAUUUCUAUGAAUAAAGAUAAGUGCUUUCCUCUGAGUUUCAAGUUGUCUCGAUUAUUUGCAUGUUUUUUCUUAUGUCUCCUGCUUUAGGUACACAGAAGUCUCGUUCCAUCCUUGGUUGUGAGCAGGGGGCUGCCGGAGCCUCGAAAACAAAAAACCCGCUGCCGGAUCGCUCCGGAACGGGCCCAUGCCGUUGCCGGGCUCCCCGCAACGCGCAUCACGCAGAAGCUGCGUCCUGGAAUGGAGGAGUGCUCAAACCAAGUUUGGCAUCGACCCUUCUGUGCCCGGGGCCUGGGAGGCAGAAGGGUUACCUGUGCUCUAUCUGUGUUGAGUCUUUUUUCGUGCAUUUCGAAAAAAAAUUGCAGCAUCUUGGGCUUGGUAAGAAUUUGACAUGCAUGACAAGGACGGAAUUGCGCGCACUGUGAUGCUCGUGGAGCGCUCAUGCACCAUUGGCUACCGCUAAAUGACACGGCCCGUGAGCGCUCCAGUUGUCAACGGAUGCCACUGGUGCGACAGUAGCCCCCGGGCGUGGACCGGCAACGCCUGUUCCCGGGUGAAAUCUUCCCUGAUCGGUUGCCGGGCUACGCCCUUAACCGACGCGUGGGUCCCGAACCGUUUCGGGUCCCUGUCUAUGCGUUGCUCCAGGGACUCUUCCGUUACGGGCAGAGUAGUGGGCGCGAGAUUUCUGCCCUAACCUCCUCCUUUAACAUGGGUGGUUAAGGCCACGCCCUGCACUACUCUCUUGAAGCGUAGUUAUUCCCAGCGCACCCGUAGGGUACGCAUGUGACCGUUGCUUAGCGCCGGGGCGUUAUAAGACCCCACCGCUGCGCUGAGGAGCAAACACUUAGCCCCCUAGCCUUUCCUCCUCAUCCCCAAGCUUCCUUGCGCACCUGAAUCCUGCUAGCUUCCGCCCACGUUCCCCAUGGCGCCCACCGCUCCCAAGAAAGGGAAAGGCUCCAAGAGUUCUGCGACCGGCAAGAGCGAGAAGGCUCCCAAGAAGCCCAUCUCGGAGAAGGACCAGAAGAAACAGGCGCUGAGGGCCACGCACGCCUUCUUCCGGCCCGACUACAAUGGCGAGGGGCUGGACAAGGUCCGGCACGCCGUCGCCUCUCGGUUCAACGAGUACGGGGAGACUCUCAUCUUCCCCUCCGGCGCCGAGCACCAGGAGAACGACUUACGGGUGUUCGCGCGCUUCAUCUUCGCCGGGUUGGUGCCUCCAUACUCCUUGUUCCUCCACGUGCUCAUGGAGGCGUACCAGCUUCGGGUGGCGCAGCUCCACCCCACCUCCCUCUUCCUCCUUGCCGUCUUCCAGUUCCUCCGCGAGAUUUCCAUUGUAGCCGGGCCGGAAGAAGGCGUGCGUGGCCGUCAGCGCCCGUUUCUUCUGGUCCUUCUCCGAGAUGGGCUUCUUGGGAGCCUUCUCGCUCUUGCCAGCCGCGGAACUCUUGGAGCCUUUCCCUUUUCUGGGAGCGGUGGGCGCCAUGGGGAACGUGGGCGGAAGCUAGCAGGAUUCAGGUGCGCAAGGAAGCUUGGGGAUGAGGAGGAACGGCUGGGGGGCUAAGUGUUUGCUCCUCAGCGCAGCGGUGGGGUCUUAUAACGUCCCGACGCUAAGCAACGGUCACAUCCGUACCCUACGGGUGCGCUGGGGAUAACUACGCUUCAAGAGGGUAGUGCAGGGCGUGGCCUUAACCACCCAUGUUUAAAAGGGAGGUUAGGGUGGAAAUCUCGCGCCCACUACUCUGCCCAUAACGGCGGAGUCCCUGGAGCAGCGCAUAGACAGGGACCCGAAACGGCUCGGGACCCACGCGUUGGUUAAGGGCGUAGCCCGGCAACUGACCAGGGAAGAUUUCACCCGGGAACAGGCGUUGCCGGCCCACGCCCGGGGGGUACCGCCGCCGCAUGACGCGUGGGCCACCUCUCUUGCUCUCCGGAAGGAUCGCACCCCGGGCAGCACUGCACAAGCUGCCCGGCAAGUCACCAGCCCGGGGGGGCUAGCCGGGGUGCGGGGGUUGCCCUGGAGGGCAGCGAGAGAAUUCCCGCCUGGGCGCUUCCUAGGGAGGUCACUUGCCGGGAAGGGCGUUCCCGGGCGCAGGCACCCGUUACAGGAGCGGGACCAAGCGGGCAAGAUAACGACGCCACGUGGCCGCUCGGCGGGCUCCCUGUGUGCAGGGCUCGUCAGGGCGAGGAGUGAAGCACAAGCAAACAUUAAAUGCUCCGACAGAAAGGGGAUUCCCCGUCCAGUCAGCCUACAGUGACUGGCCCGGUGUGAAUUCUAGGCGCGUAGUGCCCUAGCUGCAGGGCUACUCAUCAUGCAUGCAAGCCAGCACACUGAGGGCAAGCUGCCCUAGUUCUUUGCUCGCCACUUGUCACCCAUGCACCGAGCCACCUGUGGUAUCCCCUUGAGUAUAAAAGGAGGACCCCCGCCAACGGUCGGUCGGGGGGGUUCGGGUUUUUUACUAGCUUUGGCCAGAAAUAGCAAGUAGCUCUUAGUAGAAAAGGAGAGAACGCCUGGGAACUCCCCCGGCAACCUAUAAACCUUUGUUCACUGCCUAAUAAGAACGCUGAAGCAGGACGUAGGGUUUUACACCUCAGGGUGGCCCGAACCUGGGUAAAAACGAUUGUGUGCAUCCUCACGCUUGACAUUGGCUUCGCCGGCGCUCGCCGGAGCGAUCCCCGACGUCCUCUGCCGAACCUAAAAGGGGUGCCGCUCACCCCCGGUGUCUAAGCCCCGGGCUACGACAACCUGAGAUUGGUUUGAGGUCAUCUGCCCAACAUGCCAUUUUUUGCCCCAUCUGUCACUGCUGUUGCCGAGGGAAAUGUAUCAUCUAUUGAAACUACGGAUUUAAACACCGACAAAGCAUCCAAUGGUAAAGUAUAUUAUGUUCAUGCUACAUUGCAGUUUUAAUAAUUUGCACCAUUGGUAAUUGUCGAAAUUCGUAAUUGCACUUCAAUUGAAUUUUAUUUGCAUCUCUACUGCUAUUGCAAUUCAUGUCUAUGCAUUAUGCAAUUGAUAGUCUCUGUAAUAUAAUUUGCAAUUUUUUUUGCAAUCUUUAUGCUUUCUACUAUCUUUUUGUGAUUUUAGUCCUUAUUUGAAGAUGGAGCCCCUGCUGUUGAUUUUGCAGCCCCAUAGCAGUCUUUAAGUUCAGGUGCUUUGAACACUGCUUCUUCUGAACUUUCACUAGAAAAUGUCAGUAAAUUUUCUUGCAGUUCAAAGGGGUAUUAUACUUGUGAUAACAAAG
RNAcentral lists this long non-coding RNA (8193 nucleotides) under Brachypodium distachyon (stiff brome). Its description in RNAcentral is "long non-coding RNA (BDIS_LNC003218)". Lineage: Eukaryota; Viridiplantae; Streptophyta; Magnoliopsida; Poales; Poaceae. The record is from RNAcentral.